UCAUUACGACAUCUUAGACUAUUCGAAUAGCAAGAAAAAUAAGUGGUCCUCGUUUUGAGUCACUCAUGAUCACUUAUAUUCUUUAUAGCAUUUAUUGGCUUACUUAAUUUUCUUUACAUGUUAAACUUGCUUAUGUGAUUUGAAUGUGUUCUUGUUCUUGAAUUCACAAUAGCUAAGCAAUGACUUAUACUCCAUGACUAAAAGGAAUGAAGUUUUCUACAAAGAGCUUCAUACCAAUAAGAUGGAAGCAGCG
Molecule: long non-coding RNA, 253 nt
Filed under: Solanum tuberosum (potato)
Lineage: Eukaryota; Viridiplantae; Streptophyta; Magnoliopsida; Solanales; Solanaceae
Description: long non-coding RNA (STUB_LNC011264)
Source: RNAcentral